RNAcentral lists this ribosomal RNA (492 nucleotides) under uncultured bacterium. Its description in RNAcentral is "partial 16S ribosomal RNA". It matches the Rfam family "Bacterial small subunit ribosomal RNA", at positions 29 to 507 of the family's 1533-position model. The record is from RNAcentral.
AGUGAACGCUGGCGGUAGGCCUAACACAUGCAAGUCGAACGGCAGCACAGUAAGAGCUUGCUCUUACGGGUGGCGAGUGGCGGACGGGUGAGGAAUACAUCGGAAUCUACUUUUUCGUGGGGGAUAACGUAGGGAAACUUACGCUAAUACCGCAUACGACCUACGGGUGAAAGCAGGGGAUCUUCGGACCUUGCGCGAUUGAAUGAGCCGAUGUCGGAUUAGCUAGUUGGCGGGGUAAAGGCCCACCAAGGCGACGAUCCGUAGCUGGUCUGAGAGGAUGAUCAGCCACACUGGAACUGAGACACGGUCCAGACUCCUACGGGAGGCAGCAGUGGGGAAUAUUGGACAAUGGGCGCAAGCCUGAUCCAGCCAUACCGCGUGUGUGAAGAAGGCCUUCGGGUUGUAAAGCCCUUUUGGUGGGAAAGAAAAGCAGCAGGUUAAUACCCCGCUGUUCUGACGUUACCCAAAGAAUAAGCACCGGCUAACUUCGUG